RNAcentral lists this ribosomal RNA (433 nucleotides) under uncultured bacterium. RNAcentral describes it as "partial 16S ribosomal RNA". It matches the Rfam family "Bacterial small subunit ribosomal RNA", at positions 29 to 507 of the family's 1533-position model. The record is from RNAcentral.
AACGAACGCUGGCGGCAUGCCUAACACAUGCAAGUCGAACGAGACCUUCGGGUCUAGUUGCGCACGGGUGCGUAACGCGUGGGAACCUGCCCUUAGGUUCGGAAUAACUCCCCGUAAGGGGUGCUAAUACCGGAUAAUGUCUUCGGACCAAAGAUUUAUCGCCUUUGGGUGGGCCCGCGUUGGUUUAGCUAGUUGGUAGGGUAAAAGCCUACCAAGGCGACGAUCCAUAGCUGGUCUGAGAGGAUGAUCAGCCACACUGGGACUGAGACACGGCCCAGAAUCCUACGGGAGGCAGCAGUGGGGAAUAUUGGACAAUGGGCGAAAGCCUAAUACAGCAAUGCCGCGUGAGUGAUGAAGGCCUUAGGGUUGUAAAGCUCUUUUACCCGGGAUGAUAAUGACAGUACCGGGAGAAUAAGCUCCGGCUAACUCCGUG